RNAcentral lists this ribosomal RNA (252 nucleotides) under uncultured bacterium. RNAcentral's name for it is "partial 16S ribosomal RNA". It matches the Rfam family "Bacterial small subunit ribosomal RNA", at positions 524 to 776 of the family's 1533-position model. The record is from RNAcentral.
UACGAAGGUCCCGAGCGUUGUUCGGAAUCACUGGGCGUAAAGGGAGCGUAGGCGGCGUGGUAAGUCAGAUGUGAAAUCCCGGGGCUCAACCCCGGGCCUGCAGCCGAUACGGGCAGCUAGAGUUCGGUAGGGGAGACUGGAAUUCCUGGUGUAGCGGUGAAAUGCGCAGAUAUCAGGAGGAACACCGGUGGCGAAGGCGGGUCUCUGGGCCGAAACUGACGCUGAGGAGCGAAAGCGUGGGGAGCAAACAGG